CCGAAGGCAGUCGCUUAACCAACUGAGCCACCCAGGCGCCCGUCUGUGAGGGUUCUAACACAAAGCGUCUGUUGUCCUCAGGACGCAUUACCAUCCUGGCAUCAAUGUGCAUAGAGUAUUGCCAAUCUCAGAAGCUCACUGAAGCUUUGGUGUGUAGAUUUUUUGUUGUGUCUGCAGUAUAUAAACAUAAGCAGUUGAUUGCCCAAAUGAUUGUUCCAGAUGACUAAUACCACAUGACCCCAAAUUCCCCAUCCUCAGUUACAUGGUUUGUCUUUUUUAGUGUAGCUAACUGCUGCCCUAAACAAACAUACUUUUAUCAGGUAUUACAUAGAUGUCUCCAAGAAACCAAAGGCAAGGGCAAUUCUCUUGGGCAAAGCCAAGUUCUAUACCACACAGUAUCCUUCACCCAGGUUCUCCAAUCGAUAACACUUUAUUGCACUUGCUUUAUCCUUCACUCUCAUCCUUCUACCCCUCCCCUCCUCUUCCUCCUCCUCUUCUUUUUUCCCCCGUCUCUCUUUGCUGUUGUUUUUGUUGUAAUAUUACAUAUGUCUUCUUAUCAUGUUCAGGUUUUUCCUCUACUUCCUUGAACAUACGGAAUAUUAGUAGCUAUUUUAAUGAUCUUGUCUGCAAUGGUUCUCCAUUUGGGGCAGUUUUACCUUUAGGGAACAUUCGGCAACGUCUGCAGACAUUUUUGUGUCACAUCUAAUGGAUAUAGGCCAGGGAUGCUACUAAACAUUCUACAUUAUAUACAACAAAGAAUUAUCAAGUGCAAAGUGUCAACAGUGCUGAGAUUGAGAAAGCCUGGCCUAGGGCUCAUUUGGCUCCAGAGGCAUUACCAUUCUAAGCACUCUGCCUAAUGCUUUUUCUACUAGCAAAUCUUUCUGUUACAUCUGGUGAGAUGAGAACAAAAACUAUACCUGGCCAAGUGUAAGUUGCUUCACAAACUCCUUUCUAGUGAAUUUUUUCCCUGGCCUUGGUAGAUUCCGCAUUGCACAGAUUAGUCUUAUGCCGUAGGUUUUAGGGGAUCCUUCCAAAGAUCUCCAGAGCACUUCUUUCUGUUCAUCUCAUCCUCUUUUGUAUUUUGCGUCACAAAUUCUAGUCACAGUAGCCUAUGCAAACCCUGAAUUCUGUCUCUUCAGGGAGGCCACUGAGUUAUCUGGAAUUCCUUCCCCCUGUGUGGUAUAGUUUGGAAACUUCAUGCAAUGAGCUAAAGCACUCAACUGGUUUGUUUUCACUCUCAGGUAUUACUAUGCUGUACUGCUUUUUGUCCAUUGUCUGAAACCUAAGUCAUGUAUUUUAUUUUUUCCAUUGUUCUAGUUCUUUAAUGUAGAAUGGCACAUCGGAUUCCUGUUACUACAGAAGUAGAAAUCCAUUAUUUAUUUUCAUGUUCAAAUUGUCCUUAAUUUGGCCAGUGGGAGCCUACUCAGUCUGUGUCUUGUGUUCUUUUCCCAUCUAACAGUAAGAAAGAUGGUUCCCAUUAUCCACAAAACCCUAGAAUACAGUUUUAGAGUUGCUAACUGAUGCCUCCGCAAAAUAAAAGUCUACUAGCUGAAGUUCAGUAUAAGUUUAGAGUUCUUUUUUCUUUUGCUUGAAGACAUAUGUUCUCAAAACUAAGUUUGAAAGUUGCCUGGGAUGAUGUCAUCAAAAAUGAUGGAGUAAAGUUGUACAGAAAUUAUUUUCCCCAUAAAAACCACUGAGAACACUGUCUGUGUUAUCAGAAUGAACUUUUUUAGAACUAUGGCAUUAACCACAGGUUUACUACAAUCCAGGGAGUAUUUUUCAAGAAAAAUGGAUGAGUCUUGAUAGAACAGUAAUCUUUGUGACAUUUUAACUUUCCCUAUUUUCAUCUUUCACUCCUCAGAUCCAUGAUAGUUUUGAAAACCAACAGCCAACAAUCACAGUGAAAACCAGCAGCCUGGCAGCCACUAGGAGAAACAGAACAGGGUUGGAGCUUCUUCAACGAUAUAUUCACUGAGAAUUGUCAUUAUUUGACAAAUACGGUAGUUCACUGGAAGACCCCACUUGACUGAGAACUUGCUCAGUGCGAAAGCCUUUUUCCUGAUAUUUUCAAAAACAAUCAGAGGUACCUGGCUAACGUACAUUUCCCAGCUUCUUGCAGUUAGGCAAACGCUGACCAAUGGAAUCAGGAUGUUGACAUCCUGGGCUCCCUUGCAAGAUAGCUUUUGAAGACAAAGUUUCCGCCAGCCAGGGUCCUUGCAUGAUUGCGUGGAGCAGGUCCCCUCAACCCGAUCCCACCACCUGUUGAACUUUACAUGAGCAACAAAACUACCUGAAAAAGGAAGAGGCAACUCGGAAGUACCCAGGAGGCCCAUCCACUUACUGGUGACAACUGUGCCAUUCCCAGGAAUAUCUCGGUCGGCUUGGUAAGAAAUCUGAUGUCCCUUGGUUUUUCACUCUUUGGGGGAAUCUUAGCAGCACCCUGUGAUCAUAAUCUCUGACAUCUGCUCUGUAUGCUGUGCUGUGAUUUUGAAAAAGAAAACAUUACUUUCACAGGAUAUUAACUGAAGACAAAUUCCAAGCAAAACCAUUUCCAUUUUACAAUAGCAACUACCUCCCACCUCCAACUAGACUAUCAGUUGCAAGAGGCGUUUUGCUUAUUUUGUUUAUUGCUGAAUCUCCAGGUCCUAGAACAGUGCCUGGCAAGUGGCCAAAGUUCAGUGAAUAUUUGUUGAAUAAGUGAAUAAAUGACAACUAUGGAAAUCUGCAGUAAAGUGUGAAAAAGGAUAAUAAAAUUAGCACUACAAAUGUACAUGUGAUAAGUAAAUUCUGUAUUUAUAAUCAGUUCUUGUUUAACCACGUGAAUGAGUAGAAAGUAUCCCAAAUAAAAAAAAAAAAAUCCUAUGUACUUAUUAAGAACUUUGAAUUCAUCAAUAGGUUUCUUCUUAAACACUUUCCUAAGAUGUAAAGUGGAGAAAUAAUUCUAGAAGCAUACACCCAGAUUAGAUAAAUAAUUUGUAACUUCGCUAUCUUGAAAACAAUGGCAUGACUGUAAUAAUAUCCUAGGGAGUGCAAUGGAGGGAGUGAUGCAAGACUUAAGAAUGAAAAUGGUCCGCAUGCCCAGGAGACCACAUUCCACUUCGCAGCUCUUGCCCCAUUUCCCAACUCUUGUCUGCAUGGACCGAGAGCGGUCAGACCAGGCACAAGACCAGCGCCUGAAGCGAGAUGGGGCAGCGAGGCCGCGGAGAUCCCAGCCAGUACCUGGCCAAGCAGUUUUCCUCCGCAGCGCAUCUCAGGUUGUACAUGGCCAUCUUUUGCACCAAGAACAACUGUAUUUUCCUUUGGGAAAAAUCCCCUACCCAGUUGCAUGGUAGGACUGACUGAGCAUUCAUGAGACUUCUGCCUCUUCAAGCAGUGGCAGUGAGAUCCCAGUUUGGCUCAUCAAACCAUCUCCCUACCAUUGGAAUCAUGAGCAGAUGGACACAAGGCUCAAAAAUGCUGGAGCUCACACUCCCCGCUACUGAAGAAAGUUUCUACGAGUUCUUGCUACACAGAUUCCCCCUGAGCUCUUUCAGACCUGUACCUUCCAAGGCGUGAUUGUUCAGCUUUUCCUUCCUUUUCUCCAUUGCAGUCCUUUGUGGCUUGACACUGUCAGAGUCAAUUGCUGUUGGUUGCCACUUUAAGAACCUGGACUGAGGGCGCCUGGGUGGCUCAGUUGGUUAAGCGA
Non-coding RNA from Leptonychotes weddellii (Weddell seal), 3685 nucleotides. The record is from RefSeq and is a predicted model, not a curated record. Lineage: Eukaryota; Metazoa; Chordata; Mammalia; Carnivora; Phocidae.